AUGUCAAUAUGCAAUUUUAACACCCAUGAACUUUUAAUACAGAACAAUGUGUACAAUAUCUCCAUGUGUUUUGAUUUGAUAGGUUAUGUCGAGAAAGAACAGGCCCCAACGAGAGUCCACAAUGACAACAGAAAAUAUAAAAGAUGGAGUGAAACACCUUUUCUAAGAAUCCCUGGUCACAAUGGCAACUUUUACCAUGCACAGGAAGAUCACACCAUGGACCAUAAAUUACCACAAUUCCAAAGCCAAUAUCCCAGUAUUUCUGAAAUACAAAAUGCUAAGAGCCAAUUCAGCCACUUAAAACCUGGCUCAGCCUCAGUUACUCAAGAACGAAGUACUGUGGUGUACAACCGCUUUGGAAACAAAGCAUUCCCUUUCCCUAAUGGCAAGAACAUUCAUCAAGCAAACUCUGAUACUGCAUUACCUGCAGGUGGAUUUCAGGUUCCACCCCGUAUCUCUCAACCCAGAUUUAAGUCGAGGGCCUCCCUCUAUUCUCAUAGCAGUAACGUGAGUCCAAGGAUACAAGCCUUUAAGUCUAGUCUUAAACCCGAGUCAAAAAAGAUUCAUAUAAACCCCUCCAGACACAUUUUCCCCAAAAGCUUGAAUCCUGGCAGGACAACCUUGUUGCAAAGUGUUUUCAGACCCAUCGAUACAGGACACUCUCCUGGCAGCAAUUCAGCAGGAAAGGUUGAAACAUGGAUGUCUUUUCCAUCAUGGAGUCCCAGGGUCUCUAGCAGUGAGGGGAUAUCUGAAGCAAGAGGAUAUACCCAUGUGCGCCACCUCAAGCCUAGUGUUCCCAAAACACUGUCCCAAACCAGUUCUAAUGCAGGUAGAAAUGUCUUGGAAAGAACCUCUGUGAAAAGGAAUCCUGGCAGCCGGCGUCCUCCACCAACAGAUGAAGCACAAAUCGCUGCUCAUGGAGGCAAAUUUAAAUCUUUCCAAACACAUCCUAGAUAUGAUCUCCCUGCUCCCACCCCGUCAUCAGACAAUGAAACUGCUCCCAUUCAGACAUUUGCAGAGAUGACCCUCCCCCCUAGUUUGAACUCCACAGGUAUUACUUCAACAGUUGUUCCUCCAGUUACUGGAGAGUGGAGCACCAAGUCUGCUUCACCCAUGCCGACAGAGGGCCGAGAUGCAGAGUGUACACCUCAGGCAACGGUGACGGCCAGUCUGAAAUUAAAGCAGAAGUUGGAUCUUCCUUGGAACAAUACGUUGACAGUCUCUCCUCUAGAGCAGCAACCAGCAGACGAAGAAAAGAGCCCAGUGUUUUCUCAUAGUCUUCUAGAUGGAAAAGUCUCAUUUAAAUUGAAUAUAAAAUUAAUAACUUUUUUGCUUUAUUUCUGUUUUUUGUCUUUUCUUUACAUAAUGACUUUGCUAUAG
Molecule: long non-coding RNA, 1380 nt
Filed under: Cottoperca gobio
Lineage: Eukaryota; Metazoa; Chordata; Actinopteri; Perciformes; Bovichtidae
Description: lncRNA (ENSCGOG00000001221.1)
Source: RNAcentral